UCCCUGAUAGCUCAGUUGGUAAAGAAUCUGCCUGCAAUGCAGGAGAUCCCGGUUCAAUUCCUGGGUUGGGAA
Molecule: non-coding RNA, 72 nt
Organism: Bos taurus (domestic cattle)
Lineage: Eukaryota; Metazoa; Chordata; Mammalia; Artiodactyla; Bovidae
Source: Rfam